RNAcentral lists this non-coding RNA (46 nucleotides) under Trichobilharzia regenti. The record is from RNAcentral. Lineage: Eukaryota; Metazoa; Platyhelminthes; Trematoda; Strigeidida; Schistosomatidae.
ACAUUGCUGAAGAGUCCCAAACUAGGACGAAACAGCCGUCCAGUAC